AAAUUGAAGAGUUUGAUCAUGGCUCAGAUUGAACGCUGGCGGCAGGCCUAACACAUGCAAGUCGAGCGGUAGCACAGAGAGCUUGCUCUCGGGUGACGAGCGGCGGACGGGUGAGUAAUGUCUGGGAAACUGCCUGAUGGAGGGGGAUAACUACUGGAAACGGUAGCUAAUACCGCAUAAUGUCGCAAGACCAAAGUGGGGGACCUUCGGGCCUCAUGCCAUCAGAUGUGCCCAGAUGGGAUUAGCUAGUAGGUGGGGUAACGGCUCACCUAGGCGACGAUCCCUAGCUGGUCUGAGAGGAUGACCAGCCACACUGGAACUGAGACACGGUCCAGACUCCUACGGGAGGCAGCAGUGGGGAAUAUUGCACAAUGGGCGCAAGCCUGAUGCAGCCAUGCCGCGUGUGUGAAGAAGGCCUUCGGGUUGUAAAGCACUUUCAGCGGGGAGGAAGGCGUUAAGGUUAAUAACCUUGGCGAUUGACGUUACCCGCAGAAGAAGCACCGGCUAACUCCGUGCCAGCAGCCGCGGUAAUACGGAGGGUGCAAGCGUUAAUCGGAAUUACUGGGCGUAAAGCGCACGCAGGCGGUCUGUCAAGUCGGAUGUGAAAUCCCCGGGCUCAACCUGGGAACUGCAUUCGAAACUGGCAGGCUAGAGUCUUGUAGAGGGGGGUAGAAUUCCAGGUGUAGCGGUGAAAUGCGUAGAGAUCUGGAGGAAUACCGGUGGCGAAGGCGGCCCCUGGACAAAGACUGACGCUCAGGUGCGAAAGCGUGGGGAGCAAACAGGAUUAGAUACCCUGGUAGUCCACGCCGUAAACGAUGUCGAUUUGGAGGUUGUGCCCUUGAGGCGUGGCUUCCGGAGCUAACGCGUUAAAUCGACCGCCUGGGGAGUACGGCCGCAAGGUUAAAACUCAAAUGAAUUGACGGGGGCCCGCACAAGCGGUGGAGCAUGUGGUUUAAUUCGAUGCAACGCGAAGAACCUUACCUGGUCUUGACAUCCACAGAACUUUCCAGAGAUGGAUUGGUGCCUUCGGGAACUGUGAGACAGGUGCUGCAUGGCUGUCGUCAGCUCGUGUUGUGAAAUGUUGGGUUAAGUCCCGCAACGAGCGCAACCCUUAUCCUUUGUUGCCAGCGGUCCGGCCGGGAACUCAAAGGAGACUGCCAGUGAUAAACUGGAGGAAGGUGGGGAUGACGUCAAGUCAUCAUGGCCCUUACGACCAGGGCUACACACGUGCUACAAUGGCAUAUACAAAGAGAAGCGACCUCGCGAGAGCAAGCGGACCUCAUAAAGUAUGUCGUAGUCCGGAUUGGAGUCUGCAACUCGACUCCAUGAAGUCGGAAUCGCUAGUAAUCGUAGAUCAGAAUGCUACGGUGAAUACGUUCCCGGGCCUUGUACACACCGCCCGUCACACCAUGGGAGUGGGUUGCAAAAGAAGUAGGUAGCUUAACCUUCGGGAGGGCGCUUACCACUUUGUGAUUCAUGACUGGGGUGAAGUCGUAACAAGGUAACCGUAGGGGAACCUGCGGUUGGAUCACCUCCUUA
RNAcentral lists this ribosomal RNA (1539 nucleotides) under Klebsiella pneumoniae. Its description in RNAcentral is "bacterial SSU rRNA". It matches the Rfam family "Bacterial small subunit ribosomal RNA". Lineage: Bacteria; Pseudomonadati; Pseudomonadota; Gammaproteobacteria; Enterobacterales; Enterobacteriaceae. RNAcentral also lists the same sequence under 1 other name. The record is from RNAcentral.